Long non-coding RNA from Haliotis rufescens (red abalone), 737 nucleotides. RefSeq lists it as uncharacterized. The transcript has 2 exons. The record is from RefSeq and is a predicted model, not a curated record. NCBI's taxonomy places the organism in Eukaryota, Metazoa, Mollusca, Gastropoda, Lepetellida, Haliotidae.
CUCCCUUGCCCAACCACGAUCCUCAAACCCAAGAAGAUUCCAGCUCACUCCCAGAGCUACCCAACUCAACGAAGGGGACAGAGAGAAAAUGAAGAACUCUGUAAGCUGAGAGUGGGCCGCUCCGAGAUGUAAAACAAUUUCCCUGGGAGGACCGCAGCCAGAUCAAAGCCAGGGAAGAACAGAGCAGGCAGUAAACAUAGUUACAGCAGGCUUAUGCUGGUCCAAGAAAGUAAUUACUAGCAUCGAGGGCCUGUUCCCAUUGGAUGAAGCAGAUCUAUUACAUAAUAAACUACACAAAGACUCGGACAGACGGCCUCUAACAAGUUUAGUUGCCAGUCGGCAGCUGAGAGAAGGUGACGUCUGCUGCGCUGUGGGAGAAAUCGCGGAUGAGUUCUGUUGCGGCUGUUUGACAAAUUGGAUUAUUCAUGGGAAUAUGACUGGCUAGUUUGUGUUAACUGCUGGAAGGACCUCUCUUGGUGCAUAGGCGGCAAAUCCAAGCUGAGAGCAGACAUUGUCUUCCAGCAUCAACAUGACCUUCUCUACGUCACACCUUCAGAAGCAGCAGAUGCCAGGCCUCCUUCACGCAUAACAGACUCGAUACCAUCACCAUGACUGAUGGGGAAACACUGUGCUUCCCUGCCUGUGCUGGCUCCGUGAUUCAUACACGACACUGAAGGACAGGAAAAUACCUGCACCUGUGCUGGCUCCGUGAUUCAUACACGACACUGAGGGACAGG